This 817-nucleotide ribosomal RNA is filed under the name Neobenedenia sp. 1-AHC 28432-3. RNAcentral's name for it is "eukaryotic LSU rRNA". It matches the Rfam family "Eukaryotic large subunit ribosomal RNA", at positions 61 to 633 of the family's 3401-position model. Lineage: Eukaryota; Metazoa; Platyhelminthes; Monogenea; Capsalidea; Capsalidae. The record is from RNAcentral.
CAAACUAAACAGGAUUCUCUUAGUAACUGCGAGUGAACAGAGAUUAGCCCAACAUCGAAGCCACCAUGCAUUUGUAUGGGAGGCAAUGUGAUGUUUUGGUGUUUGAACGCACUGUCUGGCUAACUUGAAGUCCAUAUUUGACUGUGGCUUGUAUUUAUACACCCAGAGAUGGUGAUAGGCCCGUUCAGGUUGGUAUUCUUGCAUGACAGUUCAGUGUGUAAUCAUUCAUCAUAGAGUCGGAUUGCUUGAGAGUGCAGUCCAAAAUGGGUGGUAAACUCCAUCUAAGGCUAAAUACCUGUACGAGUCCGAUAGUCAACAAGUACCGUGAGGGAAAGUUGAAAAGUACUCUGAAGAGAGAGUAAAUAGUACGUGAAACCACAUGGAGGUUAAACAAAUAGAGUCAAGCUGCUUGCAUCAUAUCAUUGCAAUAUGCGCAUUUUGUUGCAUGACAUUUGCCGGGACCUGGCGUGUGAUUCUGUCUACUUGUAGGCAUUUGAACAUGUGUUUGUUGUUUGAAAGGUCUCGGUGAGUGUCUGCGCUUAUUGUUCAUGAUGGGUGCUAAUGCCAUAGUCGGUUGUACUACCAGUGCGCAGUAAUCGGCGAUUGUGCGGGCUGACUUAUUGUCGUUCGUGCAAUCAGUGAAACAGUUGGCAACAGUGUGUGCUUGCAUUCGCUUUUGUCAAAGAAGGCCACGGCCUGUUGAUUACUGUGAACAUUGUGAGAGUCGACCGUUCAUAUGUGCUCAUAUAAUUUGUGGUAGUAAGUCGACUUGUCGACUACUUCCAUAAAUGAGCUUAUGAGCUAUGGUAUUGUGGUA